UGAGGAAUUUUGCGCAAUGGGCGAAAGCCUGACGCAGCGACGCCGCGCGGAGGAAGACGGCCUUCGAGUUGUAAACUACUGUAAGGGGUAAAGAAACUUCGCAAGAAGCUGACGGUAACCCCAGAGGAAGCCCCGGCUAACUACGUGCCAGCAGCCGCGGUAAUACGAAGGGGGCAAGCGUUGAUCGGAAUUACUGGGCAUAAAGGGUGUGUAGGUGGCUGAAUAAGUUAAGGAUGAAAUCCCGAGGCUCAACUUCGGAACUGUCCUUUAGACUGUUCAGCUUGAGUCUAGUAAAGGAGAGCGGAAUUCACGGUGGGGCGGUUAAGUGCGUCGAUAUCUGGAGGAACACCAGAGGCGUAGGCGGUUCUCUAGGCUAGUCCUGACACUGAGACACGAAAGCUAGGGGAGCAAACG
RNAcentral lists this ribosomal RNA (414 nucleotides) under uncultured prokaryote. Its description in RNAcentral is "bacterial SSU rRNA". It matches the Rfam family "Bacterial small subunit ribosomal RNA", at positions 355 to 774 of the family's 1533-position model. The record is from RNAcentral.